Carassius gibelio (silver crucian carp) is the source of this 1014-nucleotide long non-coding RNA. RefSeq lists it as uncharacterized. The record is from RefSeq and is a predicted model, not a curated record. The transcript is spliced from 2 exons. Lineage: Eukaryota; Metazoa; Chordata; Actinopteri; Cypriniformes; Cyprinidae.
UAGUGCAGACAACAUCCACACUCAGACAGAUGAGAGAGCAGCUCCAUGUGCACAUCAGAGCUCAUCCGACACAGAGAUGAAGAAGAUGAAUGAGCUGGAACCUUCUCAGAGUCUGGAGGCGGACAGAUCUGAGGAUGUUUUUGGCAACUUCACAUGAGAUUCUUCAAUCAGAUGAGAUAGUGCUGGCCUAGGACCUGAAGUGUGAGUUUCAUCUUUCUUCACCCAUGUAAGAGCAUCUCACACCCCACACCGAGAUGACUGAUGCCGCUUUAGUGCGACAGGACUUUCAUCAUCGCUGUCUUCUGCUCCUCAAACUGACAAGAGCUGGAGUCCACCGCAGUGCAGAUGUGUUUGUUUAUUCGUCAGCUGUUCACUAGAGGAUGACCGUAUAGACAGAUUACUCGCUGAUCAGACCCCAGAGCUCACAACCUAAUCACCCUCAGGUCAUCCAAGAUCAAGAUGAAUUUGUUUCUUCAUCCGAUUUGGAGAAAUGUAGCAUUUCAUCACUUGUUCAACAAUAGAUGCUCUGCAGUGAAUGGGUGCCGUCAGAAUGAGAGUCCAAACAGCUGAUAAAAACAUCACAAGUGAUCCACACCUGUCCAUCAAUUAUCAUCUUGUGCAGUGAAAAGCAGCGUGUACAUAAGAAACAAAUCCAUCAAGGAGCUUUCAUUUUAAUUUGUUGUAAACUCAUCUACAUAUAUGCGCUGAACUAUUGUCGAUCUAUAUGGCAAAAGCAGCAAGACUUUGAAAAGGAAUCACACAAGUGUUUCUUUACUGAUUCCAUUGAUAUUAGACAUGUAAUAAAUGUUUCCUCCAUCUUAUUUCCAAAAUAUGUUUCAUACAUUUGUUUGCUGUGUGCAUCUUAUGUAUGACACUAUAUUUUAUGUUUUGGCAUCACAGCAAAUCCUUAAAAUGAUAUUGGUAAUUAACUUAACAUUGCUGCAUUUGUUGAAAAGCUUCUGUGUCACCAUCCUUUGACAAGCAGCAUUGUAAUAAAUAUAUAUUUUUGUCUCA